This 252-nucleotide ribosomal RNA is filed under the name uncultured bacterium. RNAcentral describes it as "partial 16S ribosomal RNA". It matches the Rfam family "Bacterial small subunit ribosomal RNA", at positions 524 to 776 of the family's 1533-position model. The record is from RNAcentral.
UACGGAGGAUCCAAGCGUUAUCCGGAUUUAUUGGGCGUAAAGCGAGCGCAGGUGGUUUAUUAAGUCUGGUGUAAAAGGCAGUGGCUCAACCAUUGUAUGCAUUGGAAACUGGUAGACUUGAGUGCAGGAGAGGAGAGUGGAAUUCCAUGUGUAGCGGUGAAAUGCGUAGAUAUAUGGAGGAACACCGGUGGCGAAAGCGGCUCUCUGGCCUGUAACUGACACUGAGGCUCGAAAGCGUGGGGAGCAAACAGG